RNAcentral lists this ribosomal RNA (440 nucleotides) under uncultured bacterium. RNAcentral describes it as "partial 16S ribosomal RNA". It matches the Rfam family "Bacterial small subunit ribosomal RNA", at positions 338 to 795 of the family's 1533-position model. The record is from RNAcentral.
CCUACGGGGGACAGCAGUGGGGGAUAUUGCACAAUGGGGGGAACCCUGAUGCAGCGACGCCGCGUGGGUGAAGGAGCGUUUCGGCGCGUAAAGCCCUAUCGGCAGGGAAGAAGGAGGACGGUACCUGACUAAGAAGCCCCGGCUAACUACGUGCCAGCAGCCGCGGUAAUACGGAGGAUGCGAGCGUUAUCCGGAUUUAUUGGGUUUAAAGGGUGCGCAGGCGGAGGUGCAAGUCAGCGGUCAAAUUGCGGGGCUCAACCCCGUACUGCCGUUGAAACUGCAUCCCUUGAGUGCGCGAGAAGUAUGCGGAAUGCGUGGUGUAGCGGUGAAAUGCAUAGAUAUCACGCAGAACUCCGAUUGCGAAGGCAGCAUACCGGCGCGCAACUGACGCUCAUGCACGAAAGCGUGGGUAUCGAACAGGAUUAGAUACCCCAGUAGUC